UACAGAGGUCUCAAGCGUUGUUCGGAUUUAUUGGGCGUAAAGAGCGUGUAGGCGGCCAUGUAGGUCCGUUGUGAAAACUCGAGGCUCAACCUCGAGACGCCGAUGGAAACCAUGUGGCUAGAGUCCGGAAGAGGAGAGUGGAAUUCCUGGUGUAGCGGUGAAAUGCGCAGAUAUCAGGAAGAACACCCGUGGCUAAGGCGGCUCUCUAGUACGGUACUGACGCUGAGACGCGAAAGCUAGGGGAGCAAACGGG
RNAcentral lists this ribosomal RNA (253 nucleotides) under uncultured bacterium. RNAcentral describes it as "partial 16S ribosomal RNA". It matches the Rfam family "Bacterial small subunit ribosomal RNA", at positions 524 to 776 of the family's 1533-position model. The record is from RNAcentral.